GUGAAGUCACAAUUCCCACGUCUGUCAUGUCCCAUUGGACAUAAUACUGGGUUACCUUGCCGCUUCUUCUUUGUCACGUUUUACAAUUUUCAUUUCACUCGGUCUUCAGAACACAAUUGAAAAGCAGGACUGACUGAUGGGCGAAGACUCCCUUCUCCCUGGGAAGCUAAGGUACUACCUUGCUGAUCAGACUCUCAUCUCCACUCAUUUGGAUGACUGCAAUAGCCUCCUUCCCCAAGUCUGUUCCCAUUUCUCCUUCCCCUCUCCUUCCCCAAGUCUGUUCUCCAUUUCUGUCAUACACUUAUCUGUCCCACCCACACAAAAGAAAAUAAACAAAGAAAAAGAAAAUCAAGAAUUCCCUGUGUAUGAUCACCAACAAGAAGUCAUUCAGCCAUUGUGAAAACUUCUAAGGAAAGGGAACCUACCACCCAUCUAGGCACCCCAUUCUACUUUGGAGCAGCCCUAAUUGUUGUGAAGAUUGUUCCUGACAUAGAGCUUAAAUGAGGCAGCCAGAUGAUAUAAUGGAUGAAACACCGGGCUUGGAAUCAGGAAGACUGAUCCUCGAGUUCAAAUCCGGCCUCAGACACUUCCCGAAUGUUUGACACUGGGCAAGUCACCUAACCCUAUUUGCCUCAGUUUUUUCAUUUGCAAAUGAGCUGCAGAAGGAAAUGGCAAACUACUUCAAUAUCACCUCCAAUAUUGAUUAUGAAGAAUCAAGAACAACUGAAGCAACAAAUAACAAAGAACCUAAAUCUGCUGUUUUGUAUCUUCUAUUCAUUGCUCCUGGUUCUCCAUCAAAGAUGAAACACAAUUCUAGCUGCCUUACUACUUGAAUCUUCCGCCUGUCUUGAAAGCCCCCCAGAGACCAGUACUGGCAUUUCAGAAGGGAGAUAGAUGGAAAUAGUCAUCGCUGUGCAAGGAUACCCACAGUCA
Molecule: long non-coding RNA, 933 nt
Organism: Antechinus flavipes (yellow-footed antechinus)
Lineage: Eukaryota; Metazoa; Chordata; Mammalia; Dasyuromorphia; Dasyuridae
Exons: 3
Source: RefSeq, a predicted model, not a curated record